AAGAACACAGUGGUCUCCAUCAUUCUGCAGCAUUGAAGGUCCCCAAGAACACAGUGGCCUCCAUCAUUCUGCAGCAUUGAAGGUCCCCAAGAACACAGUGGCCUCCAUCAUUCUGCAGCAUUGAAGGUCCCCAAGAACACAGUGGCCUCCAUCAUUCUGCAGCAUUGAAGGUCCCCAAGAACACAGUGGUCUCCAUCAUUCUGCAGCAUUGAAGGUCCCCAAGAACACAGUGGUCUCCAUCAUUCUGCAGCAUUGAAGGUCCCCAAGAACACAGUGGUCUCCAUCAUUCUGCAGCAUUGAAGGUCCCCAAGAACACAGUGGUCUCCAUCAUUCUGCAGCAUUGAAGGUCCCCAAGAACACAGUGGCCUCCA
Long non-coding RNA from Oncorhynchus keta (chum salmon), 371 nucleotides. RefSeq lists it as uncharacterized. NCBI's taxonomy places the organism in Eukaryota, Metazoa, Chordata, Actinopteri, Salmoniformes, Salmonidae. The transcript has 4 exons. The record is from RefSeq and is a predicted model, not a curated record.